Molecule: ribosomal RNA, 460 nt
Filed under: Flavobacterium psychrophilum
Lineage: Bacteria; Pseudomonadati; Bacteroidota; Flavobacteriia; Flavobacteriales; Flavobacteriaceae
Description: bacterial SSU rRNA
Rfam family: Bacterial small subunit ribosomal RNA
Source: RNAcentral
CAAUAUUUGAGACCGGCGCACGGGUGCGUAACGCGUAUGCAAUCUACCUUUUACAGAGGGAUAGCCCAGAGAAAUUUGGAUUAAUACCUCAUAGUAUAGUGAGUUGGCAUCAACACACUAUUAAAGUCACAACGGUAAAAGAUGAGCAUGCGUCCCAUUAGCUAGUUGGUAAGGUAACGGCUUACCAAGGCAACGAUGGGUAGGGGUCCUGAGAGGGAGAUCCCCCACACUGGUACUGAGACACGGACCAGACUCCUACGGGAGGCAGCAGUGAGGAAUAUUGGUCAAUGGGCGCAAGCCUGAACCAGCCAUGCCGCGUGCAGGAUGACGGUCCUAUGGAUUGUAAACUGCUUUUGCACAGGAAGAAACACUCGGUCGUGACCGAGCUUGACGGUACUGUGAGAAUAAGGAUCGGCUAACUCCGUGCCAGCAGCCGCGGUAAUACGGAGGAUCCAAGCGU